GACAGAGGUCCCAAGCGUUAGGCGGAAUCACUGGGCUUAAAGCGUGUGUAGGCGGAUUUGUAAGUACCUUGUGAAAUCCCACGGCUCAACCGUGGAACUGCUUGGUAUACUGCUUAUCUUGGGCCAUCUAGGGGCGAGCGGAACAAACGGUGGAGCGGUGAAAUGCGUAGAUAUCGUUUGGAACGCCAAUGGUGAAAACAGCUCGCUGGGGAUGUGCCGACGCUCAGAUACGAAAGCCAGGGGAGCGAACGGG
RNAcentral lists this ribosomal RNA (253 nucleotides) under uncultured bacterium. Its description in RNAcentral is "partial 16S ribosomal RNA". It matches the Rfam family "Bacterial small subunit ribosomal RNA", at positions 524 to 776 of the family's 1533-position model. The record is from RNAcentral.